Long non-coding RNA from Stomoxys calcitrans (stable fly), 1142 nucleotides. RefSeq lists it as uncharacterized. The record is from RefSeq and is a predicted model, not a curated record. Lineage: Eukaryota; Metazoa; Arthropoda; Insecta; Diptera; Muscidae. The transcript is spliced from 5 exons.
GAAAUAGUGGGAUGACUGGUUCCCCUCAACGAGGAUAAAUCCUGGUCAGCCCGGGGAGGGAAAGAAGACACCUUGGUGUACGGCACACAAUUAAUACAUGAUUUUUUUCAUUGUGGAAAAUAUCAUUUUUGGCGUUUGUAUGGUUGUGCGUACGCACAGAAAAAAUCGUAGCGUUGCUUGAUACAUACGUACACCUCUAUAUAUGUGUGUGUGUAAAUGUACGUACAGGCACCAUUCACCACCAUUCAUCAAUGCCGUUGCCGUCGCAUAUCAUCGACCGAUGCAUAUGCCGUUAUCCCACGCAAAAAAAAAUGUACACACACUUGCAUGAAGUGUUUCGUUCCCCUUUUCACACCGAUGGGAACAUUGAAAACAUGAACAUGGCCCUGAGGCAAUUCAAUUGAAAAGAAAGUGAACUCGAGUUUAAAAAAAAUGGAAUAGUUUUUGCCGUACGGAGACAGCCUAAUUCUUCUUCAAUGCACAACCACACGCAACCUCCAAUCGAUGCCCCAGACUAAUGAACAAUUUCUGGCAAGGAAAUUCCGUCUGGCCAGGUAGUGUUAGAGACAUUUAGCAGUGGAAAUAUGCAGCGUUUAGCAGAAUAAAAACAACAAUUUACCUGUGGCCUUACGCCAUUAAUUGGACAGCAAAACAUUCGCUGGACAUAAGUACUUGGUUUUAGCAUCGUUGAAGUGGUGUGACCUAACUUGAUGAUUAUUACAUCCACCCUGUUCAUAGACAACGUCUGACAGGUAGCAUCAGCUCGAGAUGGAUUGUGGACAACAAAAUUUCCUCUCAACACCUGAUCGUAAACAGUUGCAGCUCAAUGUGUGUGCUGUGUGUCUCCAUCAUAUUGAAGUGUGUGCAUUUAUAAAGGAAAACAAACAUGAGUGUCGUGUAUUCCCUUUUCGCUCCCAAGGGAGAUUUUGUGACAAUUUAUGAAGGAGUGAAAUAAAUGGAAACAAAGACAACCCGCUAACCGGUCGUCGCACAAUCACACAAUUAUGGAUAUCAAUUUUUACUGGAUUGAAGGCGUGUGGUCAAUAUAUCCCCACACUUUCUACCUGGCAUGUAGUGAACUGGAUUUAUGUACGCAGAAAAGUUACGAGGCAUCAUAAAAACAAGGACAACAGUGCUGGGGU